CCUACGGGAGGCAGCAGUGAGGAAUAUUGGUCAAUGGGCGCGAGCCUGAACCAGCCAAGUAGCGUGAAGGAUGACUGCCCUACGGGUUGUAAACUUCUUUUAUAAAGGAAUAAAGUGAGGCACGUGUGCCUUUUUGUAUGUACUUUAUGAAUAGGAACGGCUAACUCCGUUCCAACAGCCGCCGUAAUACGGAGGGUUCGAACGUUAUCCGGAUUUUUUGGGUUUAAAGGGAGCGUAGAUGGGGUGUUAAGUCAGUUGUGAAAGUUUGCGGCUCAACCGUAAAAUUGCAAUUGAGACUGGCAGUCUUGAGUACAGUUGAGGUAGGCGGAAUUCGUGGUGUAGCGGUGAAAUGCUUAGAUAUCACGAAGAACUCCGAUUGCGAAGGCAGCUUACUAAACUGCAACUGACAUUGAUGCUCGAAAGUGUGGGUAUCAAACAGGAUUAGAUACCCUAGUAGUC
Molecule: ribosomal RNA, 459 nt
Filed under: uncultured bacterium
Lineage: Bacteria
Description: partial 16S ribosomal RNA
Rfam family: Bacterial small subunit ribosomal RNA
Source: RNAcentral